This 27-nucleotide small RNA is filed under the name Bombyx mori (domestic silkworm). RNAcentral describes it as "ovarian small RNA-15022". The record is from RNAcentral. Lineage: Eukaryota; Metazoa; Arthropoda; Insecta; Lepidoptera; Bombycidae.
GAAAAAAAAAGGACUAUACGGCGGAUG